This 226-nucleotide long non-coding RNA is filed under the name Hordeum vulgare. Its description in RNAcentral is "long non-coding RNA (HVUL_LNC002182)". Lineage: Eukaryota; Viridiplantae; Streptophyta; Magnoliopsida; Poales; Poaceae. The record is from RNAcentral.
UAUGGUGUAAUUCGGCCCGGGUGUGUUUUUUUACAGCAUGUGAAUUUGUCUAAUUAGUCUCGAAUUUCAAAAUUACAGAUUAGAGCAUAUUUUCAAACCCGCGUAGUUUUCAAACCGUACACUGGAUCGGAGUGAUUCAGAUAUGAAACUUGACUAGAAUUUUGCGUAGAGUAAUAUUUUCCAACUCUCAUGCAUAAUUAGAACUGUUUAGUGUGUUUUGUGCAUC